Molecule: ribosomal RNA, 504 nt
Filed under: uncultured bacterium
Lineage: Bacteria
Description: partial 16S ribosomal RNA
Rfam family: Bacterial small subunit ribosomal RNA
Source: RNAcentral
AUUGAACGCUGGCGGCAUGCUUUACACAUGCAAGUCGAACGGCAGCAUGGGUGCUUGCACCUGAUGGCGAGUGGCGAACGGGUGAGUAAUGUAUCGGAACAUAUCCGCAAGUGGGGGAUAACGUAGCGAAAGUUACGCUAAUACCGCAUAUUCCCUGAGGGGGAAAGGAGGGGAUCCGCAAGGACCUUUCGCUUACGGAGUGGCCGAUAUCAGAUUAGCUAGUUGGUGAGGUAAGGGCUCACCAAGGCUUCGAUCUGUAGCGGGUCUGAGAGGAUGAUCCGCCACACUGGGACUGGGACACGGCCCAGACUCCUACGGGAGGCAGCAGUGGGGAAUUUUGGACAAUGGGGGCAACCCUGAUCCAGCCAUGCCGCGUGAGUGAAGAAGGCCUUCGGGUUGUAAAGCUCUUUCAGCUGGAAAAAAAUCGCUUCACCUAAUACGUGGAGUGGAUGAUGGUACCAGCAGAAGAAGCACCGGCUAACUACGUGCCAGCCGCCGCCGUAA